Molecule: ribosomal RNA, 440 nt
Filed under: uncultured bacterium
Lineage: Bacteria
Description: partial 16S ribosomal RNA
Rfam family: Bacterial small subunit ribosomal RNA
Source: RNAcentral
CCUACGGGUGGCAGCAGUGGGGAAUAUUGCACAAUGGGGGGAACCCUGAUGCAGCGACGCCGCGUGAGUGAAGAAGUAUUUCGGUAUGUAAAGCUCUAUCAGCAGGGAAGAAAAUGACGGUACCUGACUAAGAAGCACCGGCUAACUACGUGCCAGCAGCCGCGGUAAUACGUAGUGGGCAAGCGUUAUCCGGAUUUACUGGGUGUAAAGGGAGCGCAGACGGCUGUGCAAGUCUGGAGUGAAAGGCGGGGGACCAACGCCCGGACUGCUCUGGAAACUGUAAAGCUGGAGUGCAGGAGAGGUAAGCGGAAUUCCUAGUGUAGCGGUGAAAUGCGUAGAUAUUAGGAGGAACACCAGUGGCGAAGGCGGCUUACUGGACUGCAACUGACGUUGAGGCUCGAAAGCGUGGGGAGCAAACAGGAUUAGAUACCCGAGUAGUC